This is a non-coding RNA of Cinara cedri, 217 nucleotides long. Lineage: Eukaryota; Metazoa; Arthropoda; Insecta; Hemiptera; Aphididae. The record is from the annotation of a GenBank genome assembly.
AAUGAUUUCUCAUAGCGUACAGUGUAUUACGAAUUAAAUCGCCCCGUAUAUCCGGUACUUUCCCAACUGCUCGCCGACAACGGUGCGACUAUUACUCGGUAUCGACUUUAUGACGCAUUUUUGGCGCCGCUGUUCCUCUAAUAAGGUCAUACUGCGGGAAAAAAUCUGAUCACGUCAAAAAAGAUUAUGGCACCCCCUUUAAACGCUCGUCCCCCCU